GUGAGGAAUAUUGCGCAAUGGGCGAAAGCCUGACGCAGCGACGCCGCGUGGAGGAUGAAGGUCUUCGGAUUGUAAACUUCUGUUAAGUGGGAAGAAAGGGCUGCUUUUAAUAGAAGCAGUUAAUGACGGUACCAUUAAAGAAAGCACCGGCUAAACUCGUGCCAGCAGCCGCGGUAAUACGAGUGGUGCAAGCGUUAUUCGGAAUAAUUGGGCGUACAGGGUGUGUAGGCGGUAUGUUAAGUCUGUUGUUAAAGACUCCGGCCUAACCGGAGACAGGCAGCGGAAACUGGCGUACUAGAGGGUGGAAGAGAGAAGUGGAAUUCUCGGUGUAGCGGUAAAAUGCGUAGAUAUCGAGAGGAACACCGAUGGCGAAGGCAGCUUCUUGGUCCAUACCUGACGCUGAAACACGAAAGCGUGGGGAGCAAACAGGAUUAGAUACCCUUGUAGUCC
This 450-nucleotide ribosomal RNA is filed under the name uncultured bacterium. Its description in RNAcentral is "partial 16S ribosomal RNA". It matches the Rfam family "Bacterial small subunit ribosomal RNA", at positions 354 to 796 of the family's 1533-position model. The record is from RNAcentral.